GAGCCCUAGUUCGGAUUGUAGGCUGAAACUCGCCUACAUGAAGCUGGAAUUGCUAGUAAUCACAGGUCAGCAUACUGUGGUGAAUACGUUCCCGGGCCUUGUACACACCGCCCGUCACACCAUGAGAGUUGAGAAUACCCGAAGCCCAUGUCAAAGUGGUCGAAGGUAGGCUUGAUGAUUGGGGUGAAGUCGUAACAAGGUAUC
This 204-nucleotide ribosomal RNA is filed under the name uncultured bacterium. RNAcentral's name for it is "partial 16S ribosomal RNA". It matches the Rfam family "Bacterial small subunit ribosomal RNA", at positions 1283 to 1500 of the family's 1533-position model. The record is from RNAcentral.